AAUAUAAAAAUUAAAUAUAAAAUAAUUAAUAAAAAUAAUUUUAAUAUUAAAUAUUAUAAUGGGGGUUAAAGUAUUUAAAUAGAAAAAAUUAUAAAUUUUAUAGAAAAUUAGUAUUGUAAAAGAAAUUUGAAAUAAAUGAAAAUAAAAUUAAAAUAAAGUAAAUUUAAUUUAUUGUAUCUUGUGUAUCAGAGUUUAUUAAAUAAAUUAUUUAAAUAAAUAAAUUUCGAAUUUUUAAGAGAUAAUUAAUUAAAAAAGUUAAUGUAAUAUAAUUAUUUUAAAUAAUUAAUUUGAAAUGAAAUGUUAAUCGUUUAAAAAGAUAUCUAAUUAUUUUAGAAAAAAAUUUAAUUUUAAAAUUAAAUUUUAUAAAAAUUAAUUAAUUAAUUUUUAUAAAAUUUGAUUUAAAUAAUUUAAGGGAUAAGCUUUAAAUUAAAUUUUUAUAAUAAAUAAAUAAAUAAAAUUAAAAUUUUUAAAAUUUAUAUUGUUUAUAAAUUAAAAUUUUUUAUAAAAUAUUUUAUUUAAGAUAAAAUUUAAAAUAAUUUAAUUUUUUAUAAAAUAAUUGAUUUUAAUUAAAUAAAUAAAGUUAUAAUGAUAAAAUUAGUAUAAAUAAAUAAAUAAAUUAUAUAAAGUUAAUGAAGUUAAUAAAAAGGAAUUCGGCAAAAAAAUAUAUUCACCUGUUUAACAAAAACAUGUCUUUUUGAUAAUAAUUUAAAGUCUAAUCUGCCCACUGAUAAUAAAUUAAAGGGCUGCAGUAUAUUGACUGUACAAAGGUAGCAUAAUCAAUAGUCUUUUAAAUGGAGACUUGUAUGAAAGAUUUAAUGAAAUAUAAACUGUCUCUUUAUUAAAAUUAGAAAUUAAUUUUUUAGUUAAAAAGCUAAAAUAAUUUUAAAAGACGAGAAGACCCUAUAGAGUUUAAUAUUUUUAUUAUUUAUAUUAUUAUAUGAAAUUUUAUAAAAUAAAUAAUAAAAAUAUUUUGUUGGGGUGACAAAAAAAUUAAUAUAACUUUUUUUAAAAUUAAACAAAAAUAAUUGAAUAAAUGAUCCAUAAAUUAUGAUUAAAAGAAAAAAUUACCUUAGGGAUAACAGCGUAAUAUUUUUUUUUAGUACAAAUAAAAAAAAAAGUUUGCGACCUCGAUGUUGGAUUAAGAUAAAAUUUAAAUGCAAAAGUUUAAAAUUUUGAUCUGUUCGAUCAUUAAAAUCUUACAUGAUCUGAGUUCAAACCGGUGUGAGCCAGGUUGGUUUCUAUCUUUAAAAUAAUAAAAUAUUUUAGUACGAAAGGAAUAAAUAUUUAAAAUAAUUUUAAUUUAUAGAAUAUUAUUAAUGUAUUAAAUUAAAUAUG
Molecule: ribosomal RNA, 1335 nt
Filed under: Apodemia mormo (Mormon metalmark)
Lineage: Eukaryota; Metazoa; Arthropoda; Insecta; Lepidoptera; Riodinidae
Description: 16S ribosomal RNA
Rfam family: Eukaryotic large subunit ribosomal RNA (bases 1075-1233)
Source: RNAcentral